UCUAGUGAUUAUGGCGAGAAGGUCACACCCGUUCCCAUCCCGAACACGGAAGUUAAGCUUCUCAGCGUCAAUGGUAGUUAGGGGUUUCCCCUUGUGAGAGUAGAACGUUGCUGGGC
RNAcentral lists this ribosomal RNA (116 nucleotides) under Listeria booriae. Lineage: Bacteria; Bacillati; Bacillota; Bacilli; Caryophanales; Listeriaceae. The record is from RNAcentral.